UAUAGUACUCCCUAGUUAUAUUCUAGCACCAUCCCCAAGGCCAAGACCCGGUGACUAAAAAACACCAAUAUUAUAUAUUCUCUCCUGAUUCCAUCAAUGAAAUGUAGCUAAGCAAGCUUCCUUUUUGGCAGUUAUGAACUAGCAGUAGUGCCAAGUGCUAACAGAAAAAACAAGCAAAUGCAAUUGACAAUGCAGGAGCUGGGUACUUUCCAAGAUCAAAGAUCGGGCUUCGGAGCCAGAGAUUUUAGCCCUGACUCCGUAAUCUUCACUGCUGAUUCCAACUUCAGCAUCUUCUCUUCCAAUUCUGCUAGUGUUGACCGCUGCUCUUUUGCCUCUGACGUCCCUGAUCAAGACUCUUGCCUCUCCGACAACUCGCAAUCACAACAUUUGGCAGGGCAUGAAUUACGGGAAGGGUCAGGUUCAAGAGGUGGUCCAUAUGCAGAUCCAGAUCCACACAAAUUCACCGUACACAACAAGAACAGUGUUCACCUUUGCGCCAGAAAACAAAAAGCGAAAGUUCAAGAAUUAGAAAGCAGUGAGGUUGAAACUGAGGAUGACAACUCUAUCAUAGAUUCAGCAAGGAACUCUUUUUCUCAAGCUCUUAAAGAAUGUCAAGAUAGGAGGUCUAGAUUGGAUGCUUCACGUAAGAAACCAGACAGGCGAAGACCUGCUUCUUUAGAUCUGAAUAAUUCUGUGAUUAGUACUGCUGUGAAUUCUUCUUCACCGUCUUUUGGCGUAAUGAAGAAACAUUCUGCUGUGAAUCGCCGAACGGGCACAUUUCCUAGCCCAGGAACACCAAGUUAUAGGCACACAAGUGUUGGGGUUCAAAAAGGAUGGAGUUCAGAGCGCGUGCCAUUGCCUAAUAAUAUUAAUAGGAGGCAUGUAAGUACUGCAUUGAUGCCUUGUAAUAACGGGAGGACACUGCCUUCCAAGUGGGAGGAUGCAGAGAGGUGGAUCUUCAGUCCAAUAUCAGUAGAUGGUCCAGUGAGACAGUCAGUUCAGCAGACGCAGAGGCGGCCAAAAUCAAAGAGCGGGCCUCUUGGACCUCCUGGGAUUGCAUACCAUUCGAUGUAUUCUCCUGCUGCCCUUAUGUUUGACGGAGGGAAUGUUGGAAAUCAAAUGGCGAAUUCACCAUUUUCAGCUGGAGUGAUGGUGGCUGAAGGAUUGUCUUUGCCAGGCUAUGGUGGAGGAAAUUUACCGGCAUCUAUUAUAGAGCCUUGCAUGGCAAGGUCAGUAAGUGUACAUGGAUGCACUGAACUGAUCAGCCAGUCAUCUUUGCCUGUUUACCAAGCUUUACGAACAGAUGAGAAACUUGAUGACAUUGAACAAUCAGCCACCAAUGUGUCCCGGACGGUUUCUAGGAGGGAUAUGGCAACACAAAUGAGCCCUGAGAGUAGUCACCACUCAUCUCCCAGACAUGAGUCAUCAUUUUCUCCAUCCAGUCCCAUGCUACCCAUUGUUGAGUUGCACAGCAUGCAUUCGUCUAAACCUGAAGUUAGGGAUGUGCAAGUUGAUGAACGGGUCACAGUGACUAAAUGGUCCAAGAAAAACAGAGCAAUAGUUCCUGGGAGGGGCUCAGGAAAUGCUCGUGAAUGGAAAAGGAAAUCUGUAGAUAUGCGUGCUGCAGGUUGGGAUAUUUCAGACACAGAAAAGACAAUCUCAAAGAUAAAAAGGGAGGAAGCAAAAAUAAUUGCUUGGGAGAACUUGCAGAGAGCCAAAGCUGAGGCAGCAAUACGGAAACUUGAGAUGAAACUGGAAAAGAAGAGAUCUUCAUCGAUGGACAAGAUAAUGAACAAGCUCAGAUCAGCACAAAAGAAGGCCCAAGUUAUGAGAAGCUCAGUCUUACCAAACCAGUCACAUCAAGUUGCAAGAACCUCCCAUAAGGCCAUAUCUUUUCCUCGAACUCGCCAUAUAGGUUCCUUCAGUGGCUGCUUUACCUGUCAUGCAUUUUAGUUAGUUGCACAGCUGUUUCUUUGCUGAACGAUAAAGAGUCUCACCCCAGAGAGGAACUGAAAGAAUGAGAAACAGACUGUACAAAACAUUUCAGGUAUAAACUCAGAUGCACUAGCUCGCAUCGGACAUUGCAUUUUCGGAAAGGGUUUUUGCUCGUUUCUGGAAUCAAACUGCGAAAUAUUGAAAGCUGUUUUGCUCAUGGAUUAAUAGGUAAUUCCUAAUUGCCCACACCUGUGAUAUCCCCCCCUUUAUUAAAUGAAGAAGGCACCAAAGAAGAGAAGCAAGAGAGAAGUUCAACGCGUAUGAAAAUAAAGGGUUUCUUGUUCUGUAACCACAGGUUUCAUUUGCUGAUGGAAUUUGUGAAUUUAAGCUGAGUAGCUGAAAGAGCAAUAUAGUCGUUUGUGUAAUAUUAUCUUGUAACAUUACAUUCUUCAAUCCUUGUUUGAAUUUCCGUGCUAGUGGGCCUAAUUGUAUGUAGGUUAAAUCAUGAUAAAGUGGUCUUUGUCAAAACAAGUUUUCUAUAGAAAGGUAGAAAUACGAAAACGUGUGCUUGAUGACAAGA
This is an RNA transcript of Coffea arabica (coffee), 2515 nucleotides long. RefSeq lists it as uncharacterized. The record is from RefSeq and is a predicted model, not a curated record. Lineage: Eukaryota; Viridiplantae; Streptophyta; Magnoliopsida; Gentianales; Rubiaceae.